UAUUAAGUGGCCGAAAUAUUAAGCACUAGAUUUUUAAUCUAGAUCAUGAUUAACUUUAAUCCUUAAUAG
This 69-nucleotide transfer RNA is filed under the name unidentified. Its description in RNAcentral is "Cirrothauma sp. FMNH 309245 tRNA-Lys". The record is from RNAcentral.